This is a non-coding RNA of Styela clava, 420 nucleotides long. NCBI's taxonomy places the organism in Eukaryota, Metazoa, Chordata, Ascidiacea, Stolidobranchia, Styelidae. The record is from RefSeq and is a predicted model, not a curated record.
AAUUGCUAUCUGCGCUGGUUUUUGGUAACGGCUGAUUUGUAAUGAUCGCAGGCUAGCCUACGUUUUGGAAGUGCAAUUUGUAGAAGCUGAUGUAGUGUUUGAAAAGUGUGGAUGAACAUACUACCAUUGCUUGAAUUUAGUUCCGAUUCCAGAAUAAAGUGAGAUAUAGGCUCACAAUACAGGAUGUAUCUAACAAGUCUGUCAACGUUGGGAAAAAGUAUAAAGCACGACCAUGGUAUUGAUCAAUCUUCUUUCACGUUUUUCGAGGUAACCUGUACAGCACGUAACAUAUGUGUGACACGGGUGCGUGUUUACUACUGGGAAUACAUUGUUGCUAAAGUACAUUUGUUAUAAAGAUGAUGGAGUGAGAUUACGGUCUAUCUGAACCAUACAUGCAGCCCCGUCAGGUCAUUUUUGGGC